This 465-nucleotide ribosomal RNA is filed under the name uncultured bacterium. RNAcentral describes it as "partial 16S ribosomal RNA". It matches the Rfam family "Bacterial small subunit ribosomal RNA", at positions 28 to 507 of the family's 1533-position model. The record is from RNAcentral.
GACGAACGCUGGCGGCGUGCUUAACACAUGCAAGUCGAACGGAAAGGCCCCUUUGGGGGUACUCGAGUGGCGAACGGGUGAGUAACACGUGAGUAACCUGCCCUUGACUUCGGGAUAACUUCAGGAAACUGGGGCUAAUACCGGAUAGGAAUCCUUGCUGCAUGGUGGGGGUUGGAAAGCUUCGGCGGUUUUGGAUGGACUCGCGGCGUAUCAGCUUGUUGGUGGGGUAGUGGCUUACCAAGGCGUUGACGGGUAGCCGGCCUGAGAGGGCGACCGGCCACAUUGGGACUGAGAUACGGCCCAGACUCCUACGGGAGGCAGCAGGGGGGAAGAUUGCACAAUGGGCGGAAGCCUGAUGCAGCAACGCCGCGUGCGGGAUGACGGCCUUCGGGUUGUAAACCGCUUUCAGCAGGGGCGAAGCUUGUGGUGACGGUACCUGCAGAAGAAGCACCGGCUAACUACGUG